CUACGGGGGGCUCCAGCGGGGAAUAUUGCACAAUGGGAGCAAGCCUGAUGCAGCCAUGCCGCGUAUAUGAAGAAGGCCUUCGGGUUGUAAAGUACUUUCAGCGGGGAGGAAGGGAGUAAAGUUAAUACCUUUGCUCAUUGACGUUACCCGCAGAAGAAGCACCGGCUAACUCCGUGCCAGCAGCCGCGGUAAUACGGAGGGUGCAAGCGUUAAUCGGAAUUACUGGGCGUAAAGCGCACGCAGGCGGUUUGUUAAGUCAGAUGUGAAAUCCCCGGGCUCAACCUGGGAACUGCAUCUGAUACUGGCAAGCUUGAGUCUCGUAGAGGGGGGUAGAAUUCCAGGUGUAGCGGUGAAAUGCGUAGAGAUCUGGAGGAAUACCGGUGGCGAAGGCGGCCCCCUGGACGAAGACUGACGCUCAGGUGCGAAAGCGUGGGGAGCAAACAGGAUUAGAUACCCUAGUAGUC
Molecule: ribosomal RNA, 464 nt
Filed under: uncultured bacterium
Lineage: Bacteria
Description: partial 16S ribosomal RNA
Rfam family: Bacterial small subunit ribosomal RNA
Source: RNAcentral